Molecule: non-coding RNA, 148 nt
Filed under: Chlorocebus sabaeus (green monkey)
Lineage: Eukaryota; Metazoa; Chordata; Mammalia; Primates; Cercopithecidae
Source: Rfam by way of RNAcentral
GCCGGGCAUGGUGGUGGGCGCCUGUAAUCCCAGCUACUUAGGAGGCUGAGGCAGGAGAAUUGCUCGAACCCAGGAGGUGGAGGCUGCAGUGAGCCAAGAUUGAGCCACUGCCCUCCAGCCUGGGUGACAGAGCGAGACCCCGUCUCAG